Molecule: ribosomal RNA, 754 nt
Filed under: uncultured archaeon
Lineage: Archaea
Description: bacterial SSU rRNA
Rfam family: Archaeal small subunit ribosomal RNA
Source: RNAcentral
AGUCAACAUAACCAAAGGACGUGGAUAAACUCGGGAAACUGAGGCUAAACCGCGAUAGAUCAAGAUACCUGGAAUGGUUUUUGAUCAAAAUCUAUAUGGCCUUUGGAUUGGACUGCGUCCGAUCAGGCUGUUGGUGAGGUAAUGGCCCACCAAACCUGUAACCGGUACGGGCUCUGAGAGGAGGAGCCCGGAGAUGGGUACUGAGACAAGGACCCAGGCCCUAUGGGGCGCAGCAGGCGCGAAACCUCUGCAAUAGGCGAAAGCUUGACAGGGUUAUUCUGAGUGAUUUCCGCUAAGGAAAUCUUUUGGCACCUCUAAAAAUGGUGCAGAAUAAGGGGUGGGCAAGCCUGGUGUCAGCCGCCGCGGUAAUACCAGCACCCCGAGUGGUCGGGACGAUUAUUGGGCCUAAAGCAUCCGUAGCCGGUUCUACAAGUCUUCCGUUAAAUCCAUCUGCUUAACAGAUGGGCUGCGGAGGAUACUAUGGAGCUAGGAGGCGGGAGAGGCAAGCGGUACUUAGUGGGUAGGGGUAAAAUCCGUUGAUCCACUGAAGACCACCAGUGGCGAAGGCGGCUUGCCAGAACGCGCUCGACGGUGAGGGAUGAAAGCUGGGGGAGCAAACCGGAUUAGAUACCCGGGUAGUCCCAGCUGUAAACGAUGCAGACUCGGUGAUGAAUAGGCUUCGUGCCUUUUCAGUGCCGCAGGGAAGCCGUUAAGUCUGCCGCCUGGGGGGUACGGUCGCAAGACUGAAACUUAA